Carassius gibelio (silver crucian carp) is the source of this 2198-nucleotide RNA transcript. It is a transcript of the gene named ribonuclease P protein subunit p30, with no coding region annotated. The transcript has 13 exons. NCBI's taxonomy places the organism in Eukaryota, Metazoa, Chordata, Actinopteri, Cypriniformes, Cyprinidae. The record is from RefSeq and is a predicted model, not a curated record.
GCAAAAAUGGCAGAUGCGAACUACAUUACCCAUAAAACACAACUAACUCACGUGGACCAUGCUUCUAGUUGAAACUUUAAAGUGGAAUGUGUUUGUGUGCAUGUGGGUCUCAGUACAAUCGUUGAAUUGGUUUAGAUUUAUGUGAUAAGAAAUAAAUUUUAUAUAGAUUUGCGUUUGUAAAAAUAGUUGAAAAAAUAACUGUGUUUAUGGAUCUAAACAUCAUCAGCAAUAAUGAUAAAAACAGACUCAAAAGCAUCAUAGAGACAGCAGCUCACCUUAGCUACUCAACAGUCGCAAUAAACUAUGUGGUUGAACCACAACAGAAGAAACAGGAAAUUCCUAAGCCACAGAGUGUGUCAGACAUAUUUGAUAAAUUCCCAAUAGUACAGGGCAAAUCUUCUUCCAUCAAAGUACUGAAUCGAUUGACCAUCAUAGCCUCUGAUGCUUCUCAUUUUAGACCAACCAAUGAAUACAAAAGCUUCGACCUUGUUGCAGUGUACCCCAAGACAGAAAAACUAUUUCAUGCAGCCUGCAUGACUUUUGAUGUGGACAUUAUCUGCAUUGCAGUUGCUGAAAAACAGCCCUUCCAUUUUAAAAAGGCUCCAGUUAAUGGGGCUAUUGACAGGGGGGGUUUCUUUGAGACCUGUUAUGCAGCAGCCAUUAGAGACACCACUAUGAGGAGAUACACCAUCGCCAAUGCCAUCAGCCUUAUGGAAGUCUGUAAAGGAAAAAAUAUCAUAGUGUCCAGUGGAGCAGAAAAGCCUCUUGAAUUGAGGGGUCCGUAUGACAUUGCCAAUUUAGGGCUUGUGUUCAGCCUGUCUGAAGGAGAUGCCAAAGCUGCUGUUUCUACUAAUUGUCGAGCUGUCUUGCUUCAUGGAGAGACGAGAGCCACUGCAUCUGGUGUUGUUUACACCAUGAAGAAACCAAAAACUCCCCAGAAACAAGAAGAAUCUCCAGUAUCUAAAAAGGCCAAAACUGAAUUUUCAUAAGUAUGAGAUGUUCAGCACAUUCAUGGUGUCCUGUCCUGACUGCUACAUGAAGGGGGGUGCUGCGAAGCUGAGGACGUCAAGUGUAACCGAUAGAGACAUGUGAUUAGUGUGACUGAUUUGAGGUGGUGCUGAGUGAGCAGACAGCAGUGGGACUGGAAUCUGUGGGUGCCUCCUAAUGAGCUGAGCCACUGAGAACCCAAUAUAUCUGAACCUUCUCCACAGACUGCCAACAAGUUAGUUAGGUAGAAGAGUAGAACAUAUGCUCAUUUUUAUUUAAUCUAUACUGAAAAUGUUCAUCAUUUCUAACUGUUCAGAUCCUGAGUUUUGAUUAUAGUUAAUAUUUAACAUUCAUUUGCAUGAAAUUGAUAAUUCAUCACUACAGCUAUUUUAUUAAGUACUAUACAUUGCUCAUCAUAGUUGUAAAUAGUAAUAAUCAGUGUAUUUUACAUGUAAUUGUAAAACUGUUUUAACUUAUUUGAAGGAAUUUGAUUCAUUCUCACAUUUGUAUCUCCAUUAUGUAUUUGUUUUAUGCAUUCAUAUAGAUUAAGCUGCUUCUUGUCUAAUUCUUGUGAAUUCAUAUCUGUUGUCUAUUAGAAGUGGGACAAAAUUGGCAAGUCAUUAAGUUCAAGCACUGACUGUAGUUUUUAUAAACUAUUUAUGUAUAUAUGCAACAUGUUGUUACAAAUGUAACAUCUGAGAAUAUGAUGAGCACAAUGAACAUAAAUGUAUAUGGUUAGAUGGGUGUAGAAGCCCCCUUAAGAACAAUGCAGAUUUAAUUUUAAAUUUAAAUAUUAAAAGAGGGACAGGUUUACACCCCCGUCUCAUUGUGUGGCCUUCUUGGGCAUCAUUAUACAUGUUUUCACCAUUUGUAAUAGCUAUGCAUGAGUUCCUCAGUGUCAAAAUAUGGAUUUUGGAAAGGGUUCAAAUAUGCAGAAGAUGCUGGAAAACCAAAUGUUUAGGAGAUUAAGGAAUUUCCUGAAGAACAGCAGGCAGUUGAACUGCUCAGGACAAACAAGGGACUCAUGAACAACUAUCACAAAAUAUAAAACCAGUCAUGGACCAUCCAGGAAAUGACACAUAGUAUUAAGAUUCAAGGGUAUGUAAACAUUUUAAUGGAGUCAUUUUUAUAAAUUCGGUUAUAAAUUUUUCUUGUGGAGUAUAUGUAAACAUCUGUUAUGUGAAAUAGCUUAUUCAGGACAGUACUAAAUA